CCUAGUGGCAAUAGCGAAGAGGUCACACCUGUUCCCAUGCCGAACACAGCAGUUAAGCUCUUCAGCGCCGAUGGUAGUUGGGGCAUUGCCCCUGUGAGAGUAGGACGUCGCUAGGC
This 116-nucleotide ribosomal RNA is filed under the name Aquibacillus koreensis. The record is from RNAcentral. Lineage: Bacteria; Bacillati; Bacillota; Bacilli; Caryophanales; Bacillaceae.